Molecule: long non-coding RNA, 1261 nt
Filed under: Capra hircus (goat)
Lineage: Eukaryota; Metazoa; Chordata; Mammalia; Artiodactyla; Bovidae
Description: lncRNA (ENSCHIG00000006096.1)
Source: RNAcentral
CAACGCCCUUAACUAUCACACAAAAAGCGUUGAUAAUGGGUUUUGGUGACUGGAGAUGAUGAUAGUCCAAAUAAGUGCUAACUGUUUGGAAAAUAUGAGACAAGAGGAACACAACCUAAAAAGGUGUUCAACCUAAAAAGGAAAAGGGAUGCUUUGUAUACAUUCAGUUAGAGAUGAUGGAGAAGCCCUCAGCCAGCACAGUGGGGUAGAAGACGUCCCGCCCAUUGGCCUCUGCAGUGACAGGAAGGACAGCCAAACCCAGCUUCUACAGAGAAGGCCCUGGUACCCUGCUCUACCGCAGACACUGCAGUGCUGAUCUCAAAUGCACGUGGCGUGUUAUACUUGCACCAAGGAAACACUUUGAGAGAGGACGAGGUCUACAUUUAUGAAAUGGGGAAUGUGCAAAAGUAUCCCUGAUUAGGCUAGAAAAUGAAUGCUUCAGACUGUAAACGCAUUGCACUUUGUCAGAACCUGAUUACGGUAUUUAUCACCUGUGUUGUUAUUUGAAAGAUUUAAAGCUGUUUGACAAUUACCAUUUUUAAAAAUACACAUCUAGUGCUUUGCAACUUGUAGAGCAAAUUUACAUACAUACUGUUCUCACAAUUCUGUGAAAUUGGUAAUAAACUCUCCAUCUGAUAGAUGAGAGUCUAAGCUUCUGUGGUUUCCCAAAGUUUUAUAGAGAAGAGUGGACAAAGUCUGCACUAGAACACAGAUCUCUCUGGACUCCAAGGCUAGCCACAUCUUUUCUCGAUUAUAUAGUAGAAAUUUCAAAUGAAUCUUCUUGUGUACGUUGGUUCUGACCCUGGGGUUUAGGCAUUGAAACUGAUAAAACGCUUCUCUUUACUCAUCCCACAAGUCAUGAUGGGGCUGGUGGAGUCUCACCAUUUGUGAUGAGAGGUCACCGGACUUGAUCCAUAUGGAACUAAUACCUCUCGAAGGGUAAUGGAUUAAACAGUUUGGCUGCUGAACUAUAAGCACAGAGUAAAAAUUUGACUUGAUAAACACUACUGAAAAUCUAGGCCAAAUUCUCAAAACACAACAAGCAAAAAAGAAAAAUGCUUACAAUAAGCACAAACUUAACACAAACUGCAACCGUUAAUAUUAAAUGUCUUUUUGGGCUUUCCUGGUGGCUCAGACAGUAAAGAAUCUGCCUGAAAUGCAGGGACGCCAGUUCAGUCCCUGGGAGAGAAAGACUCCCCUGCAGAAGGAAAUGGCAACCCACUCCAUUAUCCUUGCCUGGGAAAUCCCAUGGACAGAGGGG